Molecule: long non-coding RNA, 362 nt
Organism: Spea bombifrons (plains spadefoot toad)
Lineage: Eukaryota; Metazoa; Chordata; Amphibia; Anura; Pelobatidae
Exons: 3
Source: RefSeq, a predicted model, not a curated record
AGCUUUGAUAGGGGUGCGGUGAUUAGAUGUUAAUUGGAGUCACGCGGGGGUAUAAAGGGUAACUAGAGAACCAACGCAAGCUUCUUGUCCCGGCUCUAGGUUUGCAGACCUGUUUGCUGCUGUUCUGGACAUCUUCAGACUCGGCGGACUCCGUCCCAAGGACAACGAUUCUCAUUAUCCCUCGACACAUGGGAGUGGUGCUUUAACAAUCGAGUGGAGUGAAUGCGGUGUAUGGAGUGCAGCUUAACUGGGAAUGCUUAGAAAGCACAAGAUCAACGCAGACAAAGCGGCGGCUGCAGGGGCUGCUGCUACAGACGUCUGAGACGCAGCCUUCGGUCGCUCCUUCCCGGCUUAUAACGGAC